This 459-nucleotide ribosomal RNA is filed under the name uncultured bacterium. RNAcentral's name for it is "partial 16S ribosomal RNA". It matches the Rfam family "Bacterial small subunit ribosomal RNA", at positions 338 to 795 of the family's 1533-position model. The record is from RNAcentral.
CCUACGGGAGGCAGCAGUGAGGAAUAUUGGUCAAUGGUCGGGAGACUGAACCAGCCAAGCCGCGUGAGGGAUGAAGGUACAGAGUAUCGUAAACCUCUUUUGUCAGGGAACAAAGGCGGGGACGUGUCCCCGGAUGAGUGUACCUGAAGAAAAAGCAUCGGCUAACUCCGUGCCAGCAGCCGCGGUAAUACGGAGGAUGCGAGCGUUAUCCGGAUUUAUUGGGUUAAAAGGGUGCGCAGGCGGUCUUUUAAGUCAGCGGUAAAAGCCCGGGGCUCAACCCCGGCCCGCCGUUGAAACUGGCAGUCUCGAGUUGGAGAGAAGUAUGCGGAAUGCGCGGUGUAGCGGUGAAAUGCAUAGAUAUCGCGCAGAACUCCGAUUGCGAAGGCAGCAUGCCGGCUCCACACUGACGCUGAGGCACGAAAGCGUGGGUAUCGAACAGGAUUAGAUACCCUGGUAGUC